Molecule: ribosomal RNA, 460 nt
Filed under: uncultured bacterium
Lineage: Bacteria
Description: partial 16S ribosomal RNA
Rfam family: Bacterial small subunit ribosomal RNA
Source: RNAcentral
CCUACGGGCGGCAGCAGUGAGGAAUAUUGGUCAAUGGACGAGAGUCUGAACCAGCCAAGUAGCGUGAAGGAUGCCUGCCCUAUGGGUUGUAAACUUCUUUUAUAUGGUAAUAAAAUGUUCCACGUGUGGGCUUUUGUAUGUACCAUAUGAAUAAGGAUCGGCUAACUCCGUGCCAGCAGCCGCGGUAAUACGGAGGAUCCGAGCGUUAUCCGGAUUUAUUGGGUUUAAAGGGUGCGUAGGUGGAUUGUUAAGUCAGUUGUGAAAGUUUGCGGCUCAACCGUAAAAUGGCAGUUGAAACUGGCAGUCUUGAGUACAGUAGAGGUGAGCGGAAUUCGUGGUGUAGCGGUGAAAUGCUUAGAUAUCACGAAGAACUCCGAUUGCGAAGGCAGCUCACUGGACUGCAACUGACACUGAGGCUCGAAAGUGUGGGUAUCAAACAGGAUUAGAUACCCCUGUAGUC